Molecule: long non-coding RNA, 482 nt
Filed under: Gossypium barbadense (sea-island cotton)
Lineage: Eukaryota; Viridiplantae; Streptophyta; Magnoliopsida; Malvales; Malvaceae
Description: long non-coding RNA (GBAR_LNC017086)
Source: RNAcentral
CCAUCUUCAGUCUUUUAAAUUGCAAUGUUGGGGAAAUAAGAUUCACUGUCGUAGCUUCAAUCUGUUCCACUACACCUCCAGUGGAGUAAGAUUCACCGUCGUGGUUUCAAUCUGCUCCACUGUAAUACCAAAGAGAUAAGAUUCGCUGCCCACAGCUUCAAUCCGCUCCACUUCAGCUAAUCCAAGUCUUAACGCUAGGGAGAUAAGAUUCACCGUCGUGUCUUCAAUCUGCUCCGCUACAACGCCAAGGAAAUAAGAUUCGUCGUUGUCAGUGCAGGAAGGCAAGGCUGGUGUCUUCGAUCUGCUUCGCUAUCAGUGCAGGAAGGCAAGAUCUGCUAUUUUUAACCUGCUCCGCUACAACCCAGGGAGGCAAGGUUGGUGUCUUCGAUCUACUUCGAUGUUAGUGCAGGAAGGCAAGAUCUGCUAUUUUUAACCUACUCCGCUACAACCCAGGGAGGCAAGGCUGGUGUCUUCGAUCUGCU